Molecule: small RNA, 96 nt
Filed under: Methylocaldum szegediense
Lineage: Bacteria; Pseudomonadati; Pseudomonadota; Gammaproteobacteria; Methylococcales; Methylococcaceae
Description: t44
Rfam family: t44 RNA
About the family: This family consists of a number of bacterial RNA genes of between 135 and 170 bases in length.
Source: RNAcentral
UGCUAUUUUUCGCAAUAACACACACGCAUCGUCACGGUCGGCGGGGUGCCAAUUCCCGGUGAUUUGGUCGCCGGUCGGGAUGCGUGGAGGCUCAAC